RNAcentral lists this long non-coding RNA (320 nucleotides) under Nicotiana benthamiana. RNAcentral describes it as "long non-coding RNA (NBEN_LNC014382)". Lineage: Eukaryota; Viridiplantae; Streptophyta; Magnoliopsida; Solanales; Solanaceae. The record is from RNAcentral.
GCAAGAGGCAAAUUGCCAGUGUUCCCAAACGCAGUUGCGAUGAUAGUGAACCUAAAGUACUCUGGAGGUGGCCUGCAAAUUUUCGCCACCAAGUAUCCCAAUAGACAACCGAUUGCAGUACUUAAAAGUACAUUAACUGGUAUAAACCACCAGCGCGCAAAAUUCUGGACAGUACGCCACCAAGUACCCCAAUAGACAACCGAUUGCAGUACUUAAAAGUACAUUAACUGGCAUAAACCACCAGCGCGCAAAAUUCUUGACAGUAAUAGUCUCACCAAGGUGAAUAAAGAUAGUGCAAGGCAAGAAGAGAGCAAAGACAA